Molecule: long non-coding RNA, 9636 nt
Organism: Amaranthus tricolor (Joseph's coat)
Lineage: Eukaryota; Viridiplantae; Streptophyta; Magnoliopsida; Caryophyllales; Amaranthaceae
Exons: 8
Source: RefSeq, a predicted model, not a curated record
UUAUUGUUAUUAUUGUAAUUAUUAUUAUUAUUGUAAUUAUUAUUUUUAUUAUUGUUGUUAUUAUUAUUAUUAUUAUUAUUAUUAUUAUUAUUAUUAUUAUUAUUAUUAUUUUUACUAUGGUUAUUUUUGGAAGGGCAUUGUCCUCUUUCCUUUGCUUCCUUUUGAUUUAUCUUUUCAUUAAUUUUUUUUUAUAUUUACUUAACAACUAGGAUCAGUUUAUCGGAAUACCAGACAAGAUAACGUCCGACAACGAGUUUCAAAUCAGCAAUUCAACAGAGAGUACAUCUUCAACUUCGACGGCACGCUAACAGGAUCGUCACCAUCUAAAUGCAUUUUCCUCUUCCGUUUUCUUCCUUUCAUUGAUGUUUUUAUUUAUUUUUUUUAUAAUUACUUUUUGUGAUUGUGAUUGUGAUUAUGAUUGUAAUUGUGUGUGUUUGUGUUUGUGUUUGUGUUUGUGAUUGAGAUUGUGAUUGUGAUUCUGAUUUUGAUUGUGUUUGUGAUUGCAUUUAUGAUUGCGUUUGUGUUUGUGAUUGUGUUUGUGUUUGUGUUUGUGUUUGUGUUUGUGAUUGCCUUUGUGAUUGCGUUUGUGUUUGUGAUUGUGAUUGUGUUUGUGUUUGUGUUUGUGUUUGUGUUUAUGUUUGGGUUUGGGAUUGUGAUUGUGAUUGUGAUUGUGAUUGUGUUUGUGUUUGUGUUUGUGUUUGUGUUUGUGAUUGUGUUUAUGUUUGUGUUUGUGUUUGUGUUUGUGUUUGUGUUUGUGUUUGUGUUUCUGAUUGUGAUUAUGAUUGUGAUUGUGACUGUAAUUAGUAUUGUGAUUGUGAUUGAUUGUAAUUGUGAUUGUUAUUAUUAUUGUUAUUAUUUUUAUUGUUAUUAUUAUUAUUAUUAUUAUUAUUAUAAUAAUUAUUAUUAUUAAUUUUACUAUGGUUAUUUUUUGAAGGAUAUUGUCCUCUUCCCUUUGCUUCCUUUUGAUUUAUCUUUUCAUUAAUUUUUUUUAUAUUUACUAAACAACUAGGAUAAGUUUAUCAGAGUACCAGACAAGAUAACGUCCAACAACCAGUUUCAAAUCAGCAAUUCAACAGAGAGAACAUCUUCAACUUCGACGGCACGCCACCAGGAUCGCCACCAGGAUCGCCACCAGCUAAGUGCAUUUUCCUCUUCCGUUUUCUUCCUUUCAUUAAUCUUUUUAUUUAUUUUUUUUAUAUUUACUUAUUGUGUUAUUAUUAUUAUUAUUAUUAUUAUUAUUAUUAUUAUUAUUAUUAUUAUUAUUAUUAUUAUUAUUAUUAUUUAUUAUUAUUAUUAUUAUUAUUAUUAUUAUUAUUAUUAUUAUUAUUAUUAUUGUUAUUAUUAUUAUUAUUAAUGUUAUUCUUGUAAUUAUUAUUUUUAUUAUUGUUAUUAUAGUUAUUAUUAUUGUUAUUAUUAUUAUUAUUAUUAUUAUUAUUAUUAUUAUUAUUAUUAUUAUUUUUGCUAUGGUUAUUUUUGGAAGGGCAUUGUCCUCUUCCUUUUUCUUCCUUUUGAUUUAUAUUUUCAUUAAUUUUUUUUUAUAUUUUACUUAACAACUAAGAUCAGUUUAUUGGAGUAUCAGACAAGAUAACGACCGACAACCAGUUUCAAAUCAGCAAUUCAACAGAGAAAACAUCUUCAACUUCGACGGCACGCCUCCAGGAUCGCCACCAGAUCAAUUUAUUGGAGUACCAGACAAGAUAACGUCCGACAACCAGUUUUAAAUCAGCAAUUCAACAGAGAGAACAUCUUCAACUUCGACGGCACGCCACCAGCUAAGUGAAUUUUCCUCUUCCAUUUUCUUCCUUUCGUUGUUCUUUUUAUUUAUUUUUUUUAAUAUUUACUUAUUGUGUUAUUAUUAUUGUUAUUAUUAUUAUUAUUAUUAUUAUUAUUAUUAUAUAUUAUUAUUAUAAUUGUUAUUAUAAUUAUUAUUAUUGUUAUUAUUGUAAUUAUUAUUUUUAUUAUUGUUGUUGUUAUUAUUAUUAUUAUUAUUAUUAUUAUUAUUAUUAUUAUUAUUAUUAUUAUUGUUAUUAUUAUUUUUACUAUGGUUAUUUUUGGAAAGGCAUUGUCCUUUUCACUUUGCUUCCUUUUGAUUUAUCUUUUCAUUAAUUUUUUUUAAUAUUUACUUAACAACUACGAUCAGUUUAUUGGAGUAUCACACAAGAUAACGGCCGACAACCAGUUUCAUUUCAAUAUAGAGAACAUCUUCAACUUCGACGGCACGCCACCAGAAUCGCCACCAGCUAAUUUAUUGGAGUAUCACACAAGAUAACGACCGACAACCAGUUUCAAAUCAGCAAUUCAAUAGAGAGAACAUCUUCAACUUCGACGGCACGCCACCAGAAUCGCCACCAGCUAAGAUCAGUUUAUCGGAGUACCAGACAAGAUAACGUCCGACAAACAGUUUCAAUUCAGCAAUUCAACAGAGAGUACAUCUUCAACUUCGACGGCACGCCAGCAGGAUCGCCACCAGCUAAAUGCAUUUUCCUCUUCCGUUUUCUUCCUUUCAUUGAUGUUUUUAUUUAUUUUUUUUAUAAUUACUUUUUGUGAUCGUGAUUGUGAUUAUGAUUGUAAUUGUGUGUUUGUGUUUGUGUUUGUGAUUGUGAUUGUGAUUUUGAUUGUGUUUGUGAUUGCGUUUAUGAUUGCGUUUGUGUUUGUGAUUGUGUUUGUGUUUGUGUUUGUGUUUGUGAUUGUGUUUGCGAUUGCGUUUGUGUUUGUGUUUGUGUUUGUGAUUGUGUUUGUGUUUGUGUUUGUGCUUGUGUUUGUGUUUGUGUUUCUAAUUGUGUUUGUGAUUGUGAUUAUGAUUGUCAUUGUGACUGUAAUUGUAAUUGUGAUUGUGAUUGUGAUUGAUUGUAAUUGUGAUUGUGAUUGAUUGUAAUUGUGAUUGUUAUUAUUAUUGUUAUUGUUUUUAUUGUUAUUAUUAUUAUUAUUAUUAUUAUUAUUAUAAUUUUUACUGUGGUUAUUUUUGGAAGGGCAUUGUCCUCUUCUCUUUUCUUCCUUUUGAUUUAUCUUUUUAUUAAUUUUUUUUAUAUUUACUAAACAACUAGGAUCAGUUUAUCGGAGUACCAGACAAGAUAACGUCCGACAACCAGUUUCAAAUCAGCAAUUCAACAGAGAGAACAUCUUCAACUUCGACGGCACGCGACCAGGAUCGCCACCAGCUAAAUGAAUUUUUCUCUUCCGUUUUCUUCCUUUCAUUGAUCUUUUUAUUUAUUUUCUUUUAUAUUUACUUAUUGUUAUUAUUUAUACUAUUGUUAUUAUUUAUAUUAUUAUUAUUAUUAUUAUUAUUAUUAUUAUUAUUAAUAUUAUUAUUAUUAUUAUUGUUAUUGUUAUUAUUUUUGUUAUUGUUAUUCUUAUUGUUAUUAUUAUUAUGAUUAUUAUUAUUAUUAUUAUUAUUAUUAUUAUUAUUAAUAUUAUUUUUACUAUGGUUAUUUUUGGAAGGGCAUUGUCCUCUUUCCUUUGCUUCCUUUUGAUUUAUCUUUUCAUUAAUUUUUUUUUAUAUUUACUAAACAACUAGGAUCAGUUUAUCGGAGUACCAGACAAGAUAACGUCCGACAACCAGUUUCAAAUCAGCAAUUCAACAGAGAGAACAUCUUCAACUUCGACGGCACGCGACCAGGAUCGCCACCAGCUAAAUGAAUUUUUCUCUUCCGUUUUCUUCCUUUCAUUGAUCUUUUUAUUUAUUUUCUUUUAUAUUUACUUAUUGUUAUUAUUUAUACUAUUGUUAUUAUUAUUAUUAUUAUUAUUAUUAUUAUUAUUAUUAUUAUUAUUAUUAUUAUUAUUAUUAUUAUUAUUGUUAUUGUUAUUCUUUUUGUUAUUGUUAUUCUUAUUGUUAUUAUUAUUAUUAUUAUUAUUAUUAUUUUUACGAUGGUUAUUUUUGGAAUGGCAUUAUCCUCUUUUCUUUGCUUCCUUUUGAUUUAUCUUUUCAUUAAUUUUUUUUUAUAUUUACUUAACAACUAGGAUCAGUUUAUCGGAGUACCAGACAAGAUAACGUUCGACAACCAGUUUCAAAUCAGCAAUUUAACAGAGAGUACAUCUUCAACUUCGACGGCACGCCAGCAGGAUCGCCACCAGCUAAAUGCAUUUUCCUCUUCCGUUUUCUUCCUUUCAUUGAUGUUUUUAUUUAUUUUUUUUAUAAUUACUUUUUGUGAUCGUGAUUGUGAUUAUGAUUGUAAUUGUGUGUUUGUGUUUGUGUUUGUGAUUGUGAUUGUGAUUGUGAUUUUGAUUGUGUUUGUGAUUGCGUUUAUGAUUGCGUUUGUGUUUGUGAUUGUGUUUGUGUUUGUGUUUGUGUUUGUGAUUGUGUUUGCGGUUGCGUUUGUGUUUGUGUUUGUGUUUGUGAUUGUUUUGUGUUUGUGUUUGUGCUUGUGUUUGUGUUUGUGUUUCUAAUUGUGUUUGUGAUUGUGAUUAUGAUUAUCAUUGUGACUGUAAUUGUAAUUGUGAUUGUGAUUGAUUGUAAUUGUGAUUGUGAUUGAUUGUAAUUGUGAUUGUUAUUAUUAUUAUUAUUUUUAUUGUUAUUAUUAUUAUUAUUAUUAUUAUUAUUAUUAUUAUAAUUUUUACUGUGGUUAUUUUUGGAAGGGCAUUGUCCUCUUCUCUUUUCUUCCUUUUGAUUUAUCUUUUUAUUAAUUUUUUUUAUAUUUACUAAACAACUAGGAUCAGUUUAUCGGAGUACCAGACAAGAUAACGUCCGACAACCAGUUUUAAAUCAGCAAUUGAACAGAGAGUACAUCUUCAUCUUCGACGGCACGCCACCAGUAUCACCACCAGCUAAGUGCAUUUUCCUCUUCCGUUUUCUUACUUUUAUUGAUGUUUUUGUUUAUUUUUUUUAUAAUUACUUUUUGUGAUUGUGAUUGUGAUUAUGAUUGUAAUUGUGUUUGUGUUUGUGUUUGUGUUUGUGACUGAUUGUGAUUGUGAUUGUGAUUUUGAUUGUGUUUGUGAUUGCGUUUAUGAUUGCGUUUGUGUUUAUGUUUGUGUUUGUGUUUGUGAUUGUGUUUGUGAUUGCGUUUGUGAUUGCGUUUGUGUUUGUGAUUGUUUUUGUGUUUGUGUUUGGGUUUGGGCUUGGGUUUGGGAUUGGGAUUGGGAUUGAGUUUUGGUUUGUGUUUGUGUUUGUGUUUGUGUUUGUGUUUGUGUUUGUGAUUGUGAUUGUGUUUGUGUUUGUGUUUGUGUUUGUCUUUGUGAUUGUGACUGUAAUUUGAUUGUGAUUGUGAUUGAUUGUAAUUGUGAUUGUUAUUAUUGUUGUAAUUAUUUUUAUUGUUAUUAAUAUUAUUAUUAUUAUUAUUAUUAUUAUUAUUAUUAUUAUUAUUAUUAUUAUUAUUAUUAUCAUUAGUAUUAUUAUUAUUUUUACUAUGGUUAUUUUUGGAAGGGCAUUGUCCUGUUCCCUUUGCUUCCUUUUGAUUUAUCUUUUCAUUAAUUUUUUUAUAUUUACUAAACAAUUAGGAUCAAUUUAUUGGAGUACCAGACAAGAUAACGUCCGACAACCAGUUUUAAAUCAGCAAUUCAACAGAGAGAACAUCUUCAACUUCGACGGCACGCCACCAGCUAAGUGAAUUUUCCUCUUCCAUUUUCUUCCUUUCGUUGUUCUUUUUAUUUAUUUUUUUUAAUAUUUACUUAUUGUGUUAUUAUUAUUGUUAUUAUUAUUAUUAUUAUUAUUAUUAUAUAUUAUUAUUAUAAUUGUUAUUAUAAUUAUUAUUAUUGUUAUUAUUGUAAUUAUUAUUUUUAUUAUUGUUGUUAUUAUUAUUAUUAUUAUUAUUAUUAUUAUUAUUAUUAUUAUUAUUAUUAUUAUUGUUAUUAUUAUUUUUACUAUGGUUAUUUUUGGAAAGGCAUUGUCCUUUUCACUUUGCUUCCUUUUGAUUUAUCUUUUCAUUAAUUUUUUUUAAUAUUUACUUAACAACUACGAUCAGUUUAUUGGAGUAUCACACAAGAUAACGACCGACAACCAGUUUCAUUUCAAUAUAGAGAACAUCUUCAACUUCGACGGCACGCCACCAGAAUCGCCACCAGCUAAUUUAUUGGAGUAUCACACAAGAUAACGACCGACAACCAGUUUCAAAUCAGCAAUUCAAUAGAGAGAACAUCUUCAACUUCGACGGCACGCCACCAGAAUCGCCACCAGCUAAGAUCAGUUUAUCGGAGUACCAGACAAGAUAACGUCCGACAAACAGUUUCAAUUCAGCAAUUCAACAGAGAGUACAUCUUCAACUUCGACGGCACGCCAGCAGGAUCGCCACCAGCUAAAUGCAUUUUCCUCUUCCGUUUUCUUCCUUUCAUUGAUGUUUUUAUUUAUUUUUUUUAUAAUUACUUUUUGUGAUCGUGAUUGUGAUUAUGAUUGUAAUUGUGUGUUUGUGUUUGUGUUUGUGAUUGUGAUUGUGAUUGUGAUUUUGAUUGUGUUUGUGAUUGCGUUUAUGAUUGCGUUUGUGUUUGUGAUUGUGUUUGUGUUUGUGUUUGUGUUUGUGAUUGUGUUUGCGAUUGCGUUUGUGUUUGUGUUUGUGUUUGUGAUUGUGUUUGUGUUUGUGUUUGUGCUUGUGUUUGUGUUUGUGUUUCUAAUUGUGUUUGUGAUUGUGAUUAUGAUUGUCAUUGUGACUGUAAUUGUAAUUGUGAUUGUGAUUGUGAUUGAUUGUAAUUGUGAUUGUGAUUGAUUGUAAUUGUGAUUGUUAUUAUUAUUGUUAUUGUUUUUAUUGUUAUUAUUAUUAUUAUUAUUAUUAUUAUUAUAAUUUUUACUGUGGUUAUUUUUGGAAGGGCAUUGUCCUCUUCUCUUUUCUUCCUUUUGAUUUAUCUUUUUAUUAAUUUUUUUUAUAUUUACUAAACAACUAGGAUCAGUUUAUCGGAGUACCAGACAAGAUAACGUCCGACAACCAGUUUCAAAUCAGCAAUUCAACAGAGAGAACAUCUUCAACUUCGACGGCACGCGACCAGGAUCGCCACCAGCUAAAUGAAUUUUUCUCUUCCGUUUUCUUCCUUUCAUUGAUCUUUUUAUUUAUUUUCUUUUAUAUUUACUUAUUGUUAUUAUUUAUACUAUUGUUAUUAUUUAUAUUAUUAUUAUUAUUAUUAUUAUUAUUAUUAUUAUUAUUAAUAUUAUUAUUAUUAUUAUUGUUAUUGUUAUUAUUUUUGUUAUUGUUAUUCUUAUUGUUAUUAUUAUUAUGAUUAUUAUUAUUAUUAUUAUUAUUAUUAUUAUUAUUAAUAUUAUUUUUACUAUGGUUAUUUUUGGAAGGGCAUUGUCCUCUUUCCUUUGCUUCCUUUUGAUUUAUCUUUUCAUUAAUUUUUUUUUAUAUUUACUAAACAACUAGGAUCAGUUUAUCGGAGUACCAGACAAGAUAACGUCCGACAACCAGUUUCAAAUCAGCAAUUCAACAGAGAGAACAUCUUCAACUUCGACGGCACGCGACCAGGAUCGCCACCAGCUAAAUGAAUUUUUCUCUUCCGUUUUCUUCCUUUCAUUGAUCUUUUUAUUUAUUUUCUUUUAUAUUUACUUAUUGUUAUUAUUUAUACUAUUGUUAUUAUUAUUAUUAUUAUUAUUAUUAUUAUUAUUAUUAUUAUUAUUAUUAUUAUUAUUAUUAAUAUUAUUAUUAUUAUUAUUGUUAUUGUUAUUCUUUUUGUUAUUGUUAUUCUUAUUGUUAUUAUUAUUAUUAUUAUUAUUAUUAUUUUUACGAUGGUUAUUUUUGGAAUGGCAUUAUCCUCUUUUCUUUGCUUCCUUUUGAUUUAUCUUUUCAUUAAUUUUUUUUUAUAUUUACUUAACAACUAGGAUCAGUUUAUCGGAGUACCAGACAAGAUAACGUUCGACAACCAGUUUCAAAUCAGCAAUUUAACAGAGAGUACAUCUUCAACUUCGACGGCACGCCAGCAGGAUCGCCACCAGCUAAAUGCAUUUUCCUCUUCCGUUUUCUUCCUUUCAUUGAUGUUUUUAUUUAUUUUUUUUAUAAUUACUUUUUGUGAUCGUGAUUGUGAUUAUGAUUGUAAUUGUGUGUUUGUGUUUGUGUUUGUGAUUGUGAUUGUGAUUGUGAUUUUGAUUGUGUUUGUGAUUGCGUUUAUGAUUGCGUUUGUGUUUGUGAUUGUGUUUGUGUUUGUGUUUGUGUUUGUGAUUGUGUUUGCGGUUGCGUUUGUGUUUGUGUUUGUGUUUGUGAUUGUUUUGUGUUUGUGUUUGUGCUUGUGUUUGUGUUUGUGUUUCUAAUUGUGUUUGUGAUUGUGAUUAUGAUUAUCAUUGUGACUGUAAUUGUAAUUGUGAUUGUGAUUGAUUGUAAUUGUGAUUGUGAUUGAUUGUAAUUGUGAUUGUUAUUAUUAUUAUUAUUUUUAUUGUUAUUAUUAUUAUUAUUAUUAUUAUUAUUAUUAUUAUAAUUUUUACUGUGGUUAUUUUUGGAAGGGCAUUGUCCUCUUCUCUUUUCUUCCUUUUGAUUUAUCUUUUUAUUAAUUUUUUUUAUAUUUACUAAACAACUAGGAUCAGUUUAUCGGAGUACCAGACAAGAUAACGUCCGACAACCAGUUUUAAAUCAGCAAUUGAACAGAGAGUACAUCUUCAUCUUCGACGGCACGCCACCAGUAUCACCACCAGCUAAGUGCAUUUUCCUCUUCCGUUUUCUUACUUUUAUUGAUGUUUUUGUUUAUUUUUUUUAUAAUUACUUUUUGUGAUUGUGAUUGUGAUUAUGAUUGUAAUUGUGUUUGUGUUUGUGUUUGUGUUUGUGACUGAUUGUGAUUGUGAUUGUGAUUUUGAUUGUGUUUGUGAUUGCGUUUAUGAUUGCGUUUGUGUUUAUGUUUGUGUUUGUGUUUGUGAUUGUGUUUGUGAUUGCGUUUGUGAUUGCGUUUGUGUUUGUGAUUGUUUUUGUGUUUGUGUUUGGGUUUGGGCUUGGGUUUGGGAUUGGGAUUGGGAUUGAGUUUUGGUUUGUGUUUGUGUUUGUGUUUGUGUUUGUGAUUGUGAUUGUGUUUGUGUUUGUGUUUGUGUUUGUCUUUGUGAUUGUGACUGUAAUUUGAUUGUGAUUGUGAUUGAUUGUAAUUGUGAUUGUUAUUAUUGUUGUAAUUAUUUUUAUUGUUAUUAAUAUUAUUAUUAUUAUUAUUAUUAUUAUUAUUAUUAUUAUUAUUAUUAUUAUUAUUAUCAUUAGUAUUAUUAUUAUUUUUACUAUGGUUAUUUUUGGAAGGGCAUUGUCCUGUUCCCUUUGCUUCCUUUUGAUUUAUCUUUUCAUUAAUUUUUUUAUAUUUACUAAACAAUUAGGAUCAAUUUAUUGGAGUACCAGACAAGAUAACGUCCGACAACCAGUUUUAAAUCAGCAAUUCAACAGAGAGAACAUCUUCAACUUCGACGGCACGCCACCAGCUAAUUUAUUGGAGUAUCACACAAGAUAACGACCGACAACCAGUUUCAUUUCAAUAUAGAGAACAUCUUCAACUUCGACGGCACGCCACCAGAAUCGCCACCAGCUAAUUUAUUGGAGUAUCACACAAGAUAACGACCGACAACCAGUUUCAAAUCAGCAAUUCAAUAGAGAGAACAUCUUCAACUUCGACGGCACGCCACCAGAAUCGCCACCAGCUAAGUGAAUUUUCUCUUUCCUUUUCUUCCUUUCAUUGAUCUUUUUAUUUAUUUUUUUUAUAUUUACUUAUUGUGUUAUUAUUGUUAUUAUUAUUGUUAUUAUUAUUCUUAUUAUUUUUAUUACUAUU